This 521-nucleotide ribosomal RNA is filed under the name uncultured bacterium. RNAcentral's name for it is "partial 16S ribosomal RNA". The record is from RNAcentral.
UUACCGCGGCUGCUGGCACGAAGUUAGCCGGUGCUUAUUCUGUUGGUAACGUCAAAACAGCAAGGUAUUAACUUACUGCCCUUCCUCCCAACUUAAAGUGCUUUACAAUCCGAAGACCUUCUUCACACACGCGGCAUGGCUGGAUCAGGCUUUCGCCCAUUGUCCAAUAUUCCCCACUGCUGCCUCCCGUAGGAGUCUGGACCGUGUCUCAGUUCCAGUGUGACUGAUCAUCCUCUCAGACCAGUUACGGAUCGUCGCCUUGGUAGGCCUUUACCCCACCAACUAGCUAAUCCGACCUAGGCUCAUCUGAUAGCGUGAGGUCCGAAGAUCCCCCACUUUCUCCCUCAGGACGUAUGCGGUAUUAGCGCCCGUUUCCGGACGUUAUCCCCCACUACCAGGCAGAUUCCUAGGCAUUACUCACCCGUCCGCCGCUGAAUCCAGGAGCAAGCUCCCUUCAUCCGCUCGACUUGCAUGUGUUAGGCCUGCCGCCAGCGUUCAAUCUGAGCCAGGAUCAAACUCUC